Molecule: ribosomal RNA, 1343 nt
Filed under: uncultured bacterium
Lineage: Bacteria
Description: 16S ribosomal RNA
Rfam family: Bacterial small subunit ribosomal RNA
Source: RNAcentral
GACGAACGCUGGCGGCGUGCUUAACACAUGCAAGUCGAACGGAAAGGCCCUGCUUUUGUGGGGUGCUCGAGUGGCGAACGGGUGAGUAACACGUGAGUAACCUGCCCUUGACUUUGGGAUAACUUCAGGAAACUGGGGCUAAUACCGGAUAGGAGCUCCUGCUGCAUGGUGGGGGUUGGAAAGUUUCGGCGGUUGGGGAUGGACUCGCGGCUUAUCAGCUUGUUGGUGGGGUAGUGGCUUACCAAGGCUUUGACGGGUAGCCGGCCUGAGAGGGUUACCGGCCACAUUGGGACUGAGAUACGGCCCAGACUCCUACGGGAGGCAGCAGUGGGGAAUAUUGCACAAUGGGCGGAAGCCUGAUGCAGCAACGCCGCGUGCGGGAUGACGGCCUUCGGGUUGUAAACCGCUUUCGCCUGUGACGAAGCGUGAGUGACGGUAAUGGGUAAAGAAGCACCGGCUAACUACGUGCCAGCAGCCGCGGUGAUACGUAGGGUGCGAGCGUUGUCCGGAUUUAUUGGGCGUAAAGGGCUCGUAGGUGGUUGAUCGCGUCGGAAGUGUAAUCUUGGGGCUUAACCCUGAGCGUGCUUUCGAUACGGGUUGACUUGAGGAAGGUAGGGGAGAAUGGAAUUCCUGGUGGAGCGGUGGAAUGCGCAGAUAUCAGGAGGAACACCAGUGGCGAAGGCGGUUCUCUGGGCCUUUCCUGACGCUGAGGAGCGAAAGCGUGGGGAGCGAACAGGCUUAGAUACCCUGGUAGUCCACGCUGUAAACGGUGGGUACUAGGUGUGGGGUCCAUUCCACGGGUUCCGUGCCGUAGCUAACGCUUUAAGUACCCCGCCUGGGGAGUACGGCCGCAAGGCUAAAACUCAAAGGAAUUGACGGGGCCCCGCACAAGCGGCGGAGCAUGCGGAUUAAUUCGAUGCAACGCGUAGAACCUUACCUGGGUUUGACAUGGAUCGGGAGUGCUCAGAGAUGGGUGUGCCUCUUUUGGGGUCGGUUCACAGGUGGUGCAUGGCUGUCGUCAGCUCGUGUCGUGAGAUGUUGGGUUAAGUCCCGCAACGAGCGCAACCCUUGUUCACUGUUGCCAGCACGUUAUGGUGGGGACUCAGUGGAGACCGCCGGGGUCAACUCGGAGGAAGGUGGGGAUGACGUCAAGUCAUCAUGCCCCUUAUGUCCAGGGCUUCACGCAUGCUACAAUGGCUGGUACAGAGAGUGGCGAGCCUGUGAGGGUGAGCGAAUCUCGGAAAGCCGGUCUCAGUUCGGAUUGGGGUCUGCAACUCGACCUCAUGAAGUCGGAGUCGCUAGUAAUCGCAGAUCAGCAACGCUGCGGUGAAUACGUUCCCGGG